ACAGUGAUCCUUUUGCCUCAGCCUCCCAAGUGUUGGAAUCACUUGUGUUUGCCAUCACACCCGGCAACAAUGUGAUAUUUUGAAAAUACACAGUAUUUUAUUUCUUGGGGGGAUUCAGUUAAGCAUAAUUACUUAUAAAUUUAAUAUUAAUAUCAUAGGUUAUAUAAAUUAUAUCCCAAUUCAUGUAAUCAUAAAACAAUUAGAUAAUUGUCCUCAAAACAUGAAAUUUAGGUUAAUUAAUCUUUCUUCCAAUGUUAUUUUCCUAUAAGGAACUGGGAAUUGAAUGUCAUCUUGUGCAAGCAGUCCUACCCUGGCGUGGAUGUGAGCCAGAUGUCUUUUAACCCCAUGAACUGGCACCAGCUGUGCUUGUCCAGCCCAAAUACAGUGACUGUGUGGACCGUUGAAAGAAGUGACCAGGAGCAUUAUUUCAAAGCAAAGUCAGUGAAACUACCGCUGGAAGAUGGGUCAUUUUUAAAAGAAAUAGAUGUGCUGUUCCCCCAGUCGCUGCCCAAGGACCCCAUCUACGGGCCGGUGCUGCCCCUGUCGGCCAUUGCUGGGCUGGCAGGCGAAGAGGCCGAGACUUUCAGGGUAAAGACCUUGCUGGGCUAACGGGUGCAGUCUGGGGAGCGGGGUCUCAGCUUUCACGUCUAACCGUGCCAGACAUGCAGGAUGGGAAGAUCGCGCUGGGUUUUCAGAGAGGAGAGCCGCAGACUGCAGGAGACAGACACUGGAGUUUGGAGUUUGGAGGGCUGGGAAGAUGAUGGCAGAAACGGGGGCACAGAUGUGAUUUCAACUUCGGACAUACUGAAGAUGCUGGGCAGAGGCCAGCGAGUGGCCCCAGUGUCAGGAGAGCGGGCGGGGCACAGGUGCUGGCGUCACUUGCAGAGAGUGCAUGGGAGCCGGGAGUAGGUCCGAUGAGCAGGCUGAAAGAGGAAGCAGGAGGAGGAAAGAGCGGGGAGGAAGCAGACUGCCAAAGCGGGAGGAGGAAGGGGCUCCUGGGGAGGCACAGUCCCAGAAGCAGGAGCAAAGGCAGGCGAGAGGGACCCAGGAAAG
RNAcentral lists this long non-coding RNA (1053 nucleotides) under Chinchilla lanigera (long-tailed chinchilla). Its description in RNAcentral is "lncRNA (ENSCLAG00000023505.1)". The record is from RNAcentral. Lineage: Eukaryota; Metazoa; Chordata; Mammalia; Rodentia; Chinchillidae.